CAGUUUUGGCUCAACUUCUUUUUUGUCAAGACUGAGUCCAUUGUGGCUGAUGUCACGGACUUCCCGGAGUCUUAAAACCACGCUACUACUGCUCGGAGCCUCCAAUUGGUGACGCAUCUCAAUUUGGUCAGGCAGGUCCUUCCUUGUACUGUGGGAAUCCGAGAUUGGCCUAGCUUCUGGCAAAAGUACAAACCGGCUCCCCCCAGAAAGAUCCAGGCAUUGGCAAUAGCGGACUUCAGGAGUGAGCCUUGUAGUCGUCAGAGGAGACUCGAGGUAGUGCUGCAUGAUUGCUCGCAGACCCUUGGAGUCCCAUUCCCUGAUCUUUCGUAUUUUUAUUUAUGCAUUCGGACAAUAUUGUAUUUUUGAGAGAUUUCAUAGUAUUCUGUUUUAGAGCCUAUGACUUCAUACUACCAGGUUAUGGGGAUUUGAUGUUGUAGUG
This is a long non-coding RNA of Nicotiana tabacum (common tobacco), 439 nucleotides long. RefSeq lists it as uncharacterized. The record is from RefSeq and is a predicted model, not a curated record. Lineage: Eukaryota; Viridiplantae; Streptophyta; Magnoliopsida; Solanales; Solanaceae.